GGGUUAUUGGCGCAGUGGUAGCGCAGCCCCCUGUCCAGGGGAAGGUCACCGGUUCGAACCCGGUAUAGCCCGCCA
RNAcentral lists this transfer RNA (75 nucleotides) under Agitococcus sp. RNAcentral's name for it is "tRNA-Asp". It matches the Rfam family "tRNA". Rfam says of the family: Transfer RNA (tRNA) molecules are approximately 80 nucleotides in length. Their secondary structure includes four short double-helical elements and three loops (D, anti-codon, and T loops). Further hydrogen bonds mediate the characteristic L-shaped molecular structure. tRNAs have two regions of fundamental functional importance: the anti-codon, which is responsible for specific mRNA codon recognition, and the 3' end, to which the tRNAs corresponding amino acid is attached (by aminoacyl-tRNA synthetases). tRNAs cope with the degeneracy of the genetic code in two manners: having more than one tRNA (with a specific anti-codon) for a particular amino acid; and 'wobble' base-pairing, i.e. permitting non-standard base-pairing at the 3rd anti-codon position. The record is from RNAcentral. Lineage: Bacteria; Pseudomonadati; Pseudomonadota; Gammaproteobacteria; Moraxellales; Moraxellaceae.